GUGGCAGAACAAACACAUAGCAUCACCUUUCCCCACACUGGUCUUGUCUGACUGAUUUAGGAAGCUAUGUGUAAUCGGGCCUGGUUAGUCCUUGGAUGGGAAACCACCAGGGAUUACCAAGGAUUUUCCAUU
Molecule: ribosomal RNA, 132 nt
Filed under: Pogona vitticeps (central bearded dragon)
Lineage: Eukaryota; Metazoa; Chordata; Lepidosauria; Squamata; Agamidae
Source: RNAcentral